RNAcentral lists this ribosomal RNA (728 nucleotides) under uncultured bacterium. RNAcentral's name for it is "bacterial SSU rRNA". It matches the Rfam family "Bacterial small subunit ribosomal RNA", at positions 28 to 749 of the family's 1533-position model. The record is from RNAcentral.
AUUGAACGCUGGCGGCAUGCCUAAACAUGCAAGUCGAACGGUAACGACGGAAGCUUGCUUCCGGGCGACGAGUGGCGGACGGGUGAGUAAUACUUAGGAAUCUGCCUAGUAGUGGGGGACAACCAGGAGAAAUCCUGGCUAAUACCGCAUACGCACUACGGUGGGAAGUGGGGGACCUUCGGGCCUCACGCUAUUGGAUGAGCCUAAGUCGGAUUAGCUUGUUGGUGAGGUAAAGGCUCACCAAGGCGACGAUCCGUAGCUGGUCUGAGAGGACUAUCAGCCACACUGGGACUGAGACGCGGCCCAGACUCCUACGGGAGGCAGCGGUGGGGAAUAUUGGACAAUGGGCGCAAGCCUGAUCCAGCAAUGCCGCGUGUGUGAAGAAGGCCUGCGGGUUGUAAAGCACUUUCAGUAGAGAAGAAAAGCCUAGGGUUAAUACCCCUGAGUCUUGACGUAACCUACAGAAGAAGCACCGGCUAACUCCGUGCCAGCAGCCGCGGUAAUACGGAGGGUGCGAGCGUUAAUCGGAAUUACUGGGCGUAAAGCGCGCGUAGGCGGUUUUGUAAGUCGAAUGUGAAAGCCCCGGGCUUAACCUGGGAAUUGCGUUCGAUACUGCGAAACUAGAGUACGGUAGAGGGAAGUGGAAUUCCGGGUGUAGCGGUGNAAUGCGUAGAUAUCCGGAGGAACACCAGUGGCGAAAGCGACUUCCUGGGCCAGACUGACGCUGA